ACUGUAGUCCUCAACACUAUCACUGGUCUAGUCCACAACACUAUCACUGGUCUAGUCCUCAACACCAUCACUGGUCUAUUCCUAAACACUAUCACUGGUCUAGUCCUCAACACUAUCACUGGUCUAGUCCUCAACACCAUCACUGGUCUAUUCCUCAACACUAUCACUGGUCUAGUCCUCAACACUAUCACUGGUCUAGUCCUCAACACCAUCACUGGUCUAGUCCUCAACACCAUCACUGGUCUAGUCCUCAACACCAUCACUGGUCUAGUCCUCAACACUAUCACUGGUCUAGUCCUCAACACCAUCACUGGUCUAGUCCUCAACACUAUCACUGGUCUAGUCCUCAACACUAUCACUGGUCUAGUCCUCAACACUAUCACUGGUCUAUUCCUCAACACUAUCACUGGUCUAGUCCUCAACACUAUCACUGGUCUAGUCCUCAACACCAUCACUGGUCUAGUCCUCAACACCAUCACUGGUCUAGUCCUCAACACCAUCACUGGUCUAGUCCUCAACACUAUCACUGGUCUAGUCCUCAACACUAUCACUGGUCUAGUCCUCAACACUAUCACUGGUCUAUUCCUCAACACCAUCACUGGUCUAGUCCUCAACACUAUCACUGGUGUAGUCCUCAACACUAUCACUGGUGUAGUCCUCAACACUAUCACUGGUCUAGUCCACAACACUAUCACUGGUGUAGUCCUCAACACCAUCACUGGUCUAUUCCUCAACACUAUCACUGGUCUAUUCCUCAACACCAUCACUGGUCUAGUCCUCAACACUAUCACUGGUGUAGUCCUCAACACUAUCACUGGUGUAGUCCUCAACACUAUCACUGGUCUAGUCCUGAACACCAUCACUGGUCUAGUCCUCAACACCAUCACUGGUCUAGUCCUCAACACUAUCACUGGUCUAUUCCUCAACACCAUCACUGGUCUAGUCCUCAACACUAUCACUGGUGUAGUCCUCAACACUAUCACUGGUGUAGUCCUCAACACUAUCACUGGUCUAGUCCUCAACACUAUCACUGGUGUAGUCCUCAACACUAUCACUGGUGUAGUCCUCAACACUAUCACUGGUCUAGUCCUCAACACUAUCACUGGUCUAUUCCUCAACACCAUCACUGGUCUAGUCCUCAACACCAUCACUGGCCUAGUCCUCAACACCAUCACUGGUCUAUUCCUCAACACUAUCACUGGUCUAUUCCUCAACACUAUCACUGGUCUAGUCCUCAACACCAUCACUGGUCUAGUCCUCAACACUAUCACUGGUCUAGUCCUCAACACUAUCACUGGUCUAUUCCUGAACACUAUCACUUUGUCUAGUCCUCAACACUAUCACUGGUCUAGUACUGAACACUAUAACACUGUGUCUAGUCCUCAACACUAUCACUGGUCUAGUCCCUAA
This is a long non-coding RNA of Oncorhynchus mykiss (rainbow trout), 1410 nucleotides long. Lineage: Eukaryota; Metazoa; Chordata; Actinopteri; Salmoniformes; Salmonidae. The record is from Ensembl.